This 517-nucleotide ribosomal RNA is filed under the name uncultured bacterium. Its description in RNAcentral is "partial 16S ribosomal RNA". It matches the Rfam family "Bacterial small subunit ribosomal RNA", at positions 28 to 523 of the family's 1533-position model. The record is from RNAcentral.
GACGAACGCUGGCGGCGUGCCUAAUACAUGCAAGUCGAGCGGACCGAACGAGGGCUUGCUCUUGUUUGGUCAGCGGCGGACGGGUGAGUAACACGUGGGCAACCUGCCCGCGAGACCGGGAUAACUCCGGGAAACCGGAGCUAAUACCGGAUAACACCGAAGACCGCAUGGUCUUCGGUUGAAAGGCGGCCUUUGGGCUGUCACUUGCGGAUGGGCCCGCGGCGCAUUAGCUAGUUGGUGAGGUAACGGCUCACCAAGGCGACGAUGCGUAGCCGGGCUGGGAGGGUGACCGGCCACACUGGGACUGAAACACGGCCCAGACUCCUACGGGAGGCAGCAGUAGGGAAUCUUCCGCAAUGGGCGAAAGCCUGACGGAGCGACGCCGCGUGAGCGAAGAAGGCCUUCGGGUCGUAAAGCUCUGUUGUGAGGGACGAAGGAGCGCCGUUCGAAGAGGGCGGCGCGGUGACGGUACCUCACGAGAAAGCCCCGGCUAACUACGUGCCAGCCGCCGCGGUAA